Molecule: long non-coding RNA, 4639 nt
Filed under: Sus scrofa (pig)
Lineage: Eukaryota; Metazoa; Chordata; Mammalia; Artiodactyla; Suidae
Description: lncRNA (ENSSSCG00045001889.1, ENSSSCG00055013150.1)
Rfam family: SOX2 overlapping transcript exon 2 (bases 266-334)
Source: RNAcentral
CUACUACAUCAAUCAGACCACAAGGUGCCCUUUCAGGAAAGUAAUGGAGUAUAAUCAACCUAACUUCAUUGAUCUACAAGGACUACUGAAAAUUAUAAAACUUUCUUUGGGAUUCUAACAUGCCAGAAACCACUAGAAAAAGAAGUUUGAUAUCUCAGAGGUUCUCCUCAUCGUGGUAUAGAGACCAAAAUGAUACUUUCAAACUCCCAAGGUCAUUAACUGAGGAAUAAUGCCAUCUGCACCAUGAGAGUCAGUUUUGAACAAGAAAGCCUGACAGGUUUCUCCGGAAAAGUGACCAUCCAUGGAAUGAAUGAAAUGUUCCCUUUCUAUUCCAGUAAGUAAUUGACUUGUAACUAAAAAUUGAACUGGCUGCUAUGUCAACUACAAUGUGAGCGGCUGCUGGCACAGGUGUUGCUUACUCUUUAGCCUGGAAAGAAAAGGGGCUUAACCUGUGAUUAAAUUUAAAGUCAAUUGACCUCAACAUGAGAGUACAUAAUUCUCACUUGCCUAUGGAAUGGCCUGAGUCUGUUUUAACCCCGAUUCUGGCACCUGUGUUUUUAAUGUUUGGAGUAGCUAAAGCUAGAGUUGCUCGUUUGGUUAGAAAUAAAGUGGGUGGAGAACAGUUCUAAGCAAAUAACAAAUGAUGGUCAGCCGACUAAGUCUUUAAUCCAGCGCUCAAUGUGUUCUUUUCUUUUAAUGCAUUAAUUGUAAGUUCGUGUAAAUUAUUAUUCAAACUUUUUUUAAAAAAUAUGGAUUCAUGGGCAACCAUUUUAUUACUAAGGAUACAGAGUAAAUCUAAAUCUGUGAAUUACUAACAAGCAAAGGAUGUGAGAAUGAUGACACUUUCAAAUGCUUAAGUUUGCUUAUGUAACCUAUCACAGGCUUUUUAAAUAAGCCUUGCACUUUAAAGAUUUUCUUAGCCCUAGGAAUGAAAUAGCAAUAUUGUUUUUCCAGGUUUCUGUAAAUUAACAAAAGACUGUUUACUUUUAGCAAGAUGACCUUGUUUGAGUUUUGGAGACAAACAUAUAUCUACUUCUCAAAAGCAAAAUAAAAAUCAAUGACAUCUAAAAUUACCAUUUACACUUGAAGCUAUUCUCCAUGCAUUUUAUGUAAAAUGACUGCAUGCUAAGAAUAAGUCUAUAAGGUGAGAACAGCCUAGACUGUUGUUUUUUCUUUCUCAUUUCCUUUUUAACCUGAGAAUUAGAAGAAAGUACUGAUGAUGCUUGCUUAACCCUGCUUUUAGUGCCAGGCUGUGACCAGCUCUCUGUGAAACCAUUUCUGACCCUCUGCUUGCAGUGGUGAACAUGAAUUUUUCCCCUUCCUUGCCCAUCACUGUCAGUCAAUUAUAGGAUUGAACUGAACCAGAAAAUCUGGUACAGUCUGGUAAUUAGUACAAAGGGUUUCCAGUCUAGUGUAAAGACGGGGAUGCAAGAGCCCCAGCAGUCACAGAAAUCGUUUUGAUUGGCCAUGGACAUUGCCUUUUAGUGCUGCUCGGUGACUUCCUAAAGAUAUUGCCUCCUACCCUACAGGUUUUCUCCUUCAAGUACAUUAUGGACCUUUUCAAAAGUCAUGUGUGUGUGUGUGUGUGUGUGUGUGUGCGCGUGUGCGUGCGUGCGUGCAUGUGUGUGUGUGUGUGUGUGUGUGUGUAUACGUUUCUUUUUUUAGAUCCAACUUCUCCCAUUUUUAGUCUGUCAUUUUUGCCUAUCAAACAGACACAUUUUGACUUGCCCAACAAAGAACCAAGUUAUCAACACUCACAGAAACUGACAUUUUUAAUUCAGGCUUCAUUAUGUCUUUGAAUUAUGACAGUGAAGUACAAAGACGUUUUAAGAGUUUUUUCAUUAUUUUUUUAAAUCCAGCAUUGGGAUGUUUAUCUUUCUUUAGUAUUCAUAUUUCCUUUUCUAUCUUUAUUCUCAGUAAUAUAUAAUUAGCAUUAUCAAAACCAUCAGCUAUUAUCCUUUAUGACUUUUGACCUUUAUUUUUUAAUAUGUCUCAAGCUAGCAUUCUCUAAAACAAAAAUUCUAUGAGAGAUAUUAACGAAAUAUUUUAGGGUUAUAAAAACAAUGAAAUGAUUUAAAACAUGAAUCUUUUUAAAUAUCAACAUUACAUGAAUAGGCAAGUAACACAUUAUAUGAUAAAACUAUAGUGACAAAAUAAAUUUCAGAAAAAAAUUAUUCUGUAAAUCAAGCUUGCAUUUGGUGGUAAGUGUAACUUUAUAGUCUGUAGUUCAUCACACAUUUUUAACCACUACUAUGGAGUUAUUGGCUUAAUGUCAAUGGUAUUUAUAUACUUUUUGCAGAAAAAGUAAUUUUUUGUACUAAUUACCAGACUGUACCAGAUUUUUUGCAAACAUCCUCUUUGACUAUAGAUUACAAAAACUCAGUAGUCACACAUUAGAUACAACAAAAGUGUUUGGUAGCUUGUCAUUUUAACAAAUGCUGGCCUUCAAAAGAUAGAUAUAAGUACAUCUAAGGGCAAAUUUAAUGUCUGACACUCUGUGCAAAACUGCAAAAGCAACAGUGCCCAAAAUAACAGAAGCAAAAGAAAGCACAAGGUUUUCCAUUUCCAAGAAUGCUAUUCUAGCACAAUCUGCAUCAUGAUUUUAGUCAUGAUGCAUAUGUGCUGUGAAUCUUUUAAAGGAUCAUUUAUUUACCCACAUCUUAAUGUAGCUUUAAAUAUCUGUUUUAUCCUACAUACAAUCUUAACAAAAGUAGUUAUGUUACCAUGUCUGGUACUUAUUUCUACAUGUCUGAAUUUUGCUAUUAAAUUUCAAGAAGGUUAAUAUUGCUUUUGUAACCCUGUCAUGAGUAAUGCAUUUUCCCAGUAAACAUGUCAUACUUUUAAAAGCUGUUCAAGAAGCAGUAUUUCUGUUGAAAGUUUUGUGUUUAUUUCUCUAUUGUUUUUUUAACCAUAAUAUAGUGUAAUGCUUUGAAAAGAAUACGCAUAUUUAUGUAAUUAACAUUUUUUGUUUUCAGCAAAACCUUGCCCAUUAAAAACGAGAAGAGUCUUAGAAAACCAUAUAAAUGGGCAACGUUUCAGUGACAAUAUUUGCAUUCAAUUUUAAUUCACCACCGAGUCUAUAUCUUGAAAUGUAUCUAUAAAGGACUGAAGGAAGAGUACAUUCUGAUAAUAGUUUUAUUUUUUAAUCUAAAAUAUAUGUUGAAAUUCCAAAGGUGCUUGCCACAUGUGGUAUGGCAGUAUUCUAUGUUCCAUUAUAUCUGAAUGCUUUGUGGGUCUGUAUAAUAUUACAGGCUUUAAUAUGGAUAUAAACAUUCUUUUCUACCUCAGCCUUACUCCUAGUGGCAGGAGUAAGGCUUGGGAAAAACUCUAAAGAUUAUCCAGUCUCAUGAUUUUCAAACUGUGUUCCCUUGAGCUCUUAGGCUCUUUGGGGCUACUUAGGGCUGUGGGGGAAGGGAGACCAAUUGGCCUCUUACCUCCUGCCUUUAUCUGCUGUGUCUAUUAGAGCCCCACGUAAAAUUGGAAUCCCAUGAUGGAGGGAAAAAGUAAAAUACUAUUGACUGAGCCUCUCUUACAGAUAAGGAAAGCAGAGUUUACUUAAAGUGGCACUCUGAAUCAGUGACAACCAACCACUUGUCCCUUAGUCUUAAACCUACUAAACUGCAAUAAACUUUUCCUACACAGUUAUGGGUCUUUUUGUAUUGUCAUCCUAAACAGCAUUACUAAAAACACACACUAAGAUAUCUAUAGCCCAGUGUUCAAAAUCAAGAUAUUUACUGAGGAUACAAUAUCAAGGUAGGUAAUGCAAUUGAGUAAAAUGUUGCAGACCAAAAUCAAGCCCUCUAUUUGGCAAUACAUUAAAUUUGGUGCAUUACUGUAGACUUUAUGUAAAAUAUUGAUUCAUUUAUUACUUAGUAAUAUUUUGUAUUUUUAAAUUUUCAAUUGUGGUUGAAAAAAACACAUCUAAACCAUUUUUUUAAGUGUAAAGUUCAAUACUUAACUAUAUUCACAUUUUUGUACCUGGGGGUAUCUUGCAUGGUGGGAAAAAUUAAUUAAUUAAGACAAAUUCAAAAGAAAAAGAAUUAAAGAAAGUAAAGCUGAAUUAAGAUGCUACUUUUCUCAAAGCAUGUAUUAUGGAAACAUGUUUUAUGGAAACUAUUCCUAUAAGAUGUGCAAAGUAAAAGAGUGACAUGGUCAAAUAAUCUUUGGAAAUAUAGCAUGUUAUGUCCCUUUAUAAGAAAUUUAUAGACUUGUAUUUUAAAAACUCUGAGAAAUCAUAUUGGAAAGAUCUCUUUGAACUAUGUAUACUAGAGUUUCCUAAACAAUUUUUCCAUAGACUUUCCUCACCUAUUUCACAUAAAAAAUCUAUUUUUAUUCUUCAGGGCUAAUGUUUUAUUGAAUACAUUUUGGGAAACUUUCCUCUAACAGCACUUUUGCACAUUAAAAAAAAAAAGAUCUGUAAGGUACUAUUUAAGUUAUUUAUGUUAAAUGGUUCUGAAUUUACCAAUCCUUCAUCCUCAUUUUGUGGAUAUUAAUGGACAUCCAUUAAUUCAAUCACCCAGCAGAUAUUUACGGACAGUGCUAAAUGCUAGGAAAUACAGUAAUGAGUAAAUCAAUCUUAUCUUAUAGAGCUUAACGUCCAGGGGAAAAAAAUCACAAAGAGAGAGGGAGAGAGGAAAAA